GACGAACGCUGGCGGCGUGCCUAAUACAUGCAAGUUGAGCGAUGAAGAUUGGUGCUUGCACCAAUUUGAAGAGCAGCGAACGGGUGAGUAACGCGUGGGGAAUCUGCCUUUGAGCGGGGGACAACAUUUGGAAACGAAUGCUAAUACCGCAUAAUAACUUUAAACAUAAGUUUUAAGUUUGAAAGAUGCAAUUGCAUCACUCAAAGAUGAUCCCGCGUUGUAUUAGCUAGUUGGUGAGGUAAAGGCUCACCAAGGCGAUGAUACAUAGCCGACCUGAGAGGGUGAUCGGCCACAUUGGGACGGAGACACGGCCCAAACUCCUACGGGAGGCAGCAGUAGGGAAUCUUCGGCAAUGGACGAAAGUCUGACCGAGCAACGCCGCGUGAGUGAAGAAGGGUUUCGGAUCGUAAAACUCUGUUGGUAGAGAAGAACGUUGGUGAGAGUGGAAAGCUCAUCAAGUGACGGUAACUACCCAGAAAGGGACGGCUAACUACGUG
RNAcentral lists this ribosomal RNA (497 nucleotides) under uncultured bacterium. Its description in RNAcentral is "partial 16S ribosomal RNA". It matches the Rfam family "Bacterial small subunit ribosomal RNA", at positions 28 to 507 of the family's 1533-position model. The record is from RNAcentral.